AUAAGUCACCUUGUCCUAGAGAGAUCGGUUAUCAAAAGGUUACACCAGGGUAGGCCUACACGAAACACAGCCCUUACUUUAGGUGUUUCUAAAAUCCCCUAUGGGAAAUAUGAAUGGUGGAAAAACAAUUAGAACCAUUUCUCUGUUUGACUUCUAGGUUUUAUUGGAGUUAUGACUUAUACUGUGCUACUCUAUAAUUAAGCAGUAAGUCAUGAGGGGAUGUGGUAUAUGGCCAAUAUACCACGGCUAAGGGCUGUACUUAUGCAUGACGCAUUGCGGAGGCAUAGACACAGCCCUUAGCCGUGGUAUAUUUUCCAUAUACCAUAAACCCCGAGCUGCCUUUAUAAACUGGCUACCAACAUAAUUAGAGCAGUAAAAAUAAAUGUUUUGUCAUACCUGUGGUAUACGGUCUGAUAUACCACGGCUGUCAGCCAAUCAGCAUUCAGGGCUAGAACCAUCCAGUUUAUAACAGGUAAUGGAGAACCAGUGAUACCAUAUUACAGGUAAUAGAGGACCAGUGCUACCGUAUUACAGGUAAUAGAGGAGCCGUCAUACCGUAUUAUAGGUAAUAGAGGUCCAGUGAUACCGUAUUACAGGUAAUAGAGGACCAGUGAUACCGUAUUACAGGUAAUAGAGGAGCAGUGAUAGCGUAUUACAGGUAAUAGAGGACCAGUAAUAGUAUUACAGGUAAUAGAGGACCAGUGAUACCGUAUUACAGGUAAUACAGGAGCAGUGAUACCAUAUUACAGGUAAUAGAGGACCAGUGAUACCGUAUUACAGGUAAUAGAAGAGCAGUGAUAGCGUAUUACAGGUAAUAGAGGACCAGUGAUAGUAUUACAGGUAAUAGAAGAGCAGUGAUACCGUAUUACAGGUAAUAGAGGAGCAGUGAUACCGUAGUACAGGUAAUAGAAGAGCAGUGAUAGCGUAUUACAGGUAAUAGAGGACCAGUGAUAGUAUUACAGGUAAUAGAAGAGCAGUGAUAGCGUAUUACAGGUAAUAGAGGACCAGUGAUAGUAUUACAGGUAAUAGAAGAGCAGUAAUACCGUACUACAGGUAAUAGAGGAGCAGUGAUACCGUAUUACAGGUAAUAGAAGAGCAGUGAUACCGUAUUACAGGUAAUAGAGGAGCAGUGAUACCGUAUUACAGGUAAUAGAAGAGCAGUGAUACCGUAUUACAGGUAAUAGAGGACCAGUGAUAGUAUUAGAGAUAGUAGAGGAGCAGUGCUGUACGGUAUGUAUUUCAGCUAACAGAGGAGCAGUGCUACCAUAUUACAGGUAAUAGGAGAGUAGUGAUGUACAGUAUGUAUUACAGCAAACAGAGGAGCAGUGAUACCCUAUUACAGGUAAUAGAAGAGCAGUGAUACAGUAUUACAGGUAAUAGAGGAGCAGUGAUAGUAUUACAGGUAAUAGAAGAGCAGUGAUGUACGGCAUGUGUUACAGGUAAUAGAGGAGCAGUGCUACCAUAUUACAGGUAAUAGAGGAGCAGUGCUACCGUAUUACAGGUAAUAGAGGAGCAGUGCUACCAUAUUACAGGUAAUAGAGGAGCAGUAUUACAGUAUUACAGGUAAUAGAGGAGCAGUGAUAUACGGCAUGUGUUACAGGUAAUAGAGGAGCAGUGAUAUACGGCAUGUGUUACAGGUAAUAGAAGAGCAGUGAUACCAUAUUACAGGUAAUAGAGGAGCAGUGCUACUAUAUUACAGGUAAUAGAAGAGCAGUGAUACAGUAUUACAGGUAAUAGAGGAGCAGUGAUGUACGUAAUGUAUUACAGGUAAUAGAGGAGCAGUGAUGUACGGCAUGUAUUACAGGUAAUAGAGGAGCAGUGAUGUACGGCAUGUAUUACAGGUAAUAGAGGAGCAGUGAUGUACGGCAUGUAUUACAGGUAAUAGAGGAGCAGUGAUGUACGGCAUGUAUUACAGGUAAUAGGAGCAGUGAUACCAUAUUACAGGUAGUAGAAGAGCAGUGAUGUACGGCAUGUAUUACAGGUAAUAGAGGAGCAGUGAUACCAUAUUACAGGUAAUAGAAGAGCAGUGAUACAGUAUUACAGGUAAUAGAGGAGCAGUGAUAUACGGCAUGUAUUACAGGUAAUAGAGGAGCAGUGAUGUACGGCAUGUAUUACAGGUAAUAGAGGAGCAGUGAUGUACGGCAUGUAUUACAGGUAAUAGGAGCAGUGAUACCAUAUUACAGGUAGUAGAAGAGCAGUGAUGUACGGCAUGUAUUACAGGUAAUAGAGGAGCAGUGAUACCAUAUUACAGGUAAUAGAAGAGCAGUGAUACAGUAUUACAGGUAAUAGAGGAGCAGUGCUACCAUAUUACAGGUAAUAGAAGUGCAGUGAUACAGUAUUACAGGUAAUAGAGGAGCAGUGAUGUACGGCAUGUAUUACAGGUAAUAGAGGAGCAGUGAUGUACGGCAUGUAUUACAGGUAAUAGAGGAGCAGUGAUACCAUAUUACAGGUAAUAGAAGAGCAGUGAUACAGUAUUACAGGUAAUAGAGGAGCAGUGCUACCAUAUUACAGGUAAUAGAAGUGCAGUGAUACAGUAUUACAGGUAAUAGAGGAGCAGUGAUAUACGGCAUGUAUUACAGGUAAUAGAGGAGCAGUGAUAUACGGCAUGUAUUACAGGUAAUAGAGGAGCAGUGAUGUACGGCAUGUAUUACAGGUAAUAUAGGAGCAGUGCUACCAUGUUACAGGUAAUAGAGGAGCAGUGAUACCGUAUUACAGGUAAUAGAGGAGCAGUGCUACCAUAUUACAGGUAAUAGAGGAGCAGUGAUACCGUAUUACAGGUAAUAGAGGAGCAGUGCUACCAUAUUACAGGUAAUAGAGGAGCAGUGAUACCAUAUUACAGGUAAUAGAGGAGCUGCUGCUGCAGAGUUAAUAAUUAUGAUUAUGAGUUAAAAAUAUUAUAAAUACUUUACAGACUUUAGAAAUACAGCAACAACAGGAACAUCUGCAGUCAGAAAUCAGAUUAAUGAAUAAAAUGAAAUGUUUUUGAAUCCUAAAUCGACCCUUAGCCCCUGUUUCAUAGGCCUAUGCACUCCAGUAUUCCAGUGCAGUACUGUAUAUCACUCUAUUCUUUACAUAGUGCUCUACUUUUGGCCUGAACUCUGGAUUAGGGACUUCUACAGGGAUCCGUCUUGUGUUCUGUUGAUGUUUCUGUUGGCUUAAAGAAUAAAGACACACAUAUUUCUGGG
Molecule: non-coding RNA, 3185 nt
Organism: Oncorhynchus mykiss (rainbow trout)
Lineage: Eukaryota; Metazoa; Chordata; Actinopteri; Salmoniformes; Salmonidae
Source: RefSeq, a predicted model, not a curated record